AACUCUGCUGAAGGAACUUCACUGAUAAGUAAGCAGAGAAUCAAUUUAGUCUUAGAUAGAAAACCUCUCUAUGAAUAAGGGAAAAUAAAGUCAAAGGAAAUGAAGCAAAUAAAGGAAGAAAAAAAAUACUGAUGACCAGAAAAGAGCAAUAUAUUUACAAUGCUGAAUCUGUACCAUCCUGGUCUCAAAAGCGCGACUGCUGGACUACAGGUACCACAGAAUCUUUAACAGACUCACGGACUGAAAACUAUUGGGAUAAACUCAACUGGGAAGAGUACUCCCGUCAUGGACCCUCAGAUGAAC
Long non-coding RNA from Ailuropoda melanoleuca (giant panda), 303 nucleotides. RefSeq lists it as uncharacterized. The transcript is spliced from 3 exons. NCBI's taxonomy places the organism in Eukaryota, Metazoa, Chordata, Mammalia, Carnivora, Ursidae. The record is from RefSeq and is a predicted model, not a curated record.